This 201-nucleotide ribosomal RNA is filed under the name uncultured bacterium. RNAcentral describes it as "partial 16S ribosomal RNA". It matches the Rfam family "Bacterial small subunit ribosomal RNA", at positions 1300 to 1500 of the family's 1533-position model. The record is from RNAcentral.
GUAGGCUGAAACUCGCCUAUAUGAAGUCGGAAUUGCUAGUAAUCGCGGAUCAGCAUGCCGCGGUGAAUACGUUCCCGGGCCUUGUACACACCGCCCGUCACACCAUGAGAGUCGAUAACACCCGAAGCCUGUAGUCUAACAGCAAUGAGGACGCAGUCGAAGGUGGGAUUGAUAAUUAGGGUGAAGUCGUAACAAGGUAUC